AGGACGAACGCUGGCGGCGUGCUUAACACAUGCAAGUGGAGCGACGAACCAGGGCUUGCCCUGGGGCAGAGCCGCGAACGGGUGAGUAACACGUGGGUUACCUGCCUUGAUGACCGGGACAACCCGAGGAAACUCGGGCUAAUACCGGAUGUGCCCGCAAGGGGAAAGGAAGCUUCGGCCUCCGCAUCAAGAUGGGCCCGCGGCCCAUUAGCUUGUUGGUGAGGUAACGGCUCACCAAGGCUUCGAUGGGUAGCUGGUCUGAGAGGACGAUCAGCCACACUGGGACUGAGACACGGCCCAGACUCCUACGGGAGGCAGCAGUGGGGAAUAUUGCGCAAUGGGCGAAAGCCUGACGCAGCGACGCCGCGUGAGGGAUGACGGCCUUCGGGUUGUAAACCUCUUUCAGCAGGGACGAAGCGAAAGUGACGGUACCUGCAGAAGAAGCGCCGGCCAACUACGUGCCAGCAGCCGC
RNAcentral lists this ribosomal RNA (472 nucleotides) under uncultured bacterium. RNAcentral describes it as "SSU rRNA". It matches the Rfam family "Bacterial small subunit ribosomal RNA", at positions 26 to 518 of the family's 1533-position model. The record is from RNAcentral.